This is a long non-coding RNA of Rosa rugosa (rugosa rose), 1344 nucleotides long. RefSeq lists it as uncharacterized. Lineage: Eukaryota; Viridiplantae; Streptophyta; Magnoliopsida; Rosales; Rosaceae. The record is from RefSeq and is a predicted model, not a curated record. The transcript is spliced from 3 exons.
AGCUAUUGGCGCUUUCACUAUUGUUGAAAUGCUAUUUAGCUCUAGUCUUCUUGCCAUUGUUGGAGCUGGUGAAGAGGCCACAGCCAUCUUUAUCUCCGCGUCGUCUCUGUUUGUUCAAUACAACAAGUGGAACUGCUCUUCGAGAAUUGAACUUUUUGACUUCAAUAUUUCCGUUCGUAUGAAUAGGAAAAGGUAAACCAUUUGACUGGUAAUGAUCUUUUGCCACCAGUUUUUCUUGGUUUCAAAAUAUCCUUUGCAUUGAUGUUUAAUGCUUAUCCAUUCUUUUACUUGUUAACAAAAUAUGCGUUUCUAGUCUAGAUAGUUGCCAUAUUUUGCAUUUUGGCUCUUGUUGACAACUGUUAGGACUUUUGCUAUUUAGUAAUUAACCUUUCCCAGGAGUAUCAUGGUUAUCCUGCUCCAUCUUUUUAUGAAAUAAUGGAUUAUUUCCAAUUACUUGUUUUAUACGUUUUUCUUCCCUUUAUGGUUCUUCUACAUGCAUCAAUGAGAACGUAUAGAUUAUGUGUCUCUGCAGAGUACUUGGCCUAUUUUCUAGUGUUUGUCCAUGUUAAUAAAUUGUUUGCAUUCGCCGAUGUUAAUGCUUGUAUCCAACUUUGUUUGAUUUCUCUUAGAUAAACUAGACAGUUCAUGUCUAUGUAUUUGGGAAUUCGAAUAAGUGGAUUUUGAUUCUUUCUACAGCUUUAAAGUCCCAAAGCUGUGCAGUACUUCUAUUAGAUUAAGGCUUCACAUACUUUGGUGAGUUGUGCUUGGCAAGUUUGUGUCUUUAUUGGUCUCUUGCUCAGUUAUACUAUAUGGGUUUUGAUUUCUAGGCUUGGUUUUGGCUGAUUGCUCUCAGUCUGGAACUGGGUUUCUUUUAUUCAAAUUCCUUUUCAGGUAGAAGCUUUAAAAAGGGCCCAGAGUCUUCACUUUACAGAAGAGGUUCGAUCUACAAAAUGUCGUCUAGGUGCUUUUAAGGUUAAGAUAGAGUUUGACGACCUGAAGAAUAAGGCCCUUCAUACGUGCAGUUACUUGAGUUCCCUUGUUAGUCAAAUUGAGAGGUAGAUGAUAGAAGAUAUUGGAGAUGAAACCAAGUUUCGUAUUUCUACCGUCAUCUAAGAUCACAUAUGAUAUCAACAUGUAACUGCUAGGAAUUGUUUAGUUAGUUGUAAUUAUAGCUUAAGUUAACUGUUAUGAGUAACAGAUUCAGUAAAUGUCCUCUUUCAUUUGAAAGGACGUCUGUUUUGGAGUUGAAAGGAUGCUUUGUGAAUGUCCUCUUUUCUUUUCAAGGACACUUUUUGUUCAUACCAGGACUUUUUUUUUUGUGUUCUAUAAUAGAUACAAUGACGU